AGUUCGAUCAUGGCUCGAUUAAACGCUGGCGCGAUGCUUGCAGAGCGCAAGUCGAACGGCAGCACGGACUUCGGUCUGGUGGCGAGGCGAACGGGUGAGUAAUGUAUCGGAACGUGCCUAUAGCGGGGGAUAACUACGCGAAAGCGUAGCUACCACCGCAUGCCGCCCUCGGCGGAAAGCGGGGGACCUUCGGGCCUCGCACCAUUAGAGCGGCUGAUAUCGGAUUAGCUAGUUGGUGGGGUAACGGCUCACCAAGGCGACGAUCCGUAGCUGGUUUGAGAGGACGACCAGCCACACUGGGACUGAGACACGGCCCAGACUCCAUGGGAGGCAGCAGUGGGGGAAUUUUGGACAAUGGGGGAAACCUGAUCCAGCCAUCUCGCGUGUGCGAUGAAGGCUCUCGGGUUGUAAAGCACUUUUUGGCAGGAAGAAACGGCACGGGAUAAUACCCCGUGCAACUGACGGUACCCUGCAGAAUAAGCACCGGCUAACUGGCUGCCAGCAGCCGCGGUAAUACGUAGGGUGCAAGCGCGUUAAUCGGAAUCGUCAGCGUAAGCGUGCGCAGGCGGUUCGGAAAGAAAGAUGUGAAAUCCCAGAGCUUAACUUUCUCGAACUGGCUUUAACUUACUGAGCUAGAGGGAGGUGUCGAGGGAGGGAAUUCGCGUGUGGCAGUGAAAUGCGUGGAUAUGGAGGAACACCGAUGGCGAAGGCAGCCUCCUGGGGAUAACACUUAUUUAUGCACGAAAGCGUGGGAGCAAACAGGAUUAGAGAUUUAACCACGCCCUAAACGAUGUUACUGAAUUAGCUGUUGGGGCCCUUCGGGCCUUGGUAAAGGCAGCUAACGCGUGUUUGACCGCCUGGGGAGUACGGUCGUAAGAUUAAAGUCCGGGUUAGCCUGAUUUGGGACUCGCACAAGCGGUGGAUGAUGUGGAUUAAUUGAUGCAACGCGAAAAACCUGUUCUGCCCUGACAUGUCUGGAAUCCCGAAGAGAUUUGGGCGUUCGCGAACCGGAACACAGUGCUGGCAUGGCUGUCGUCAGCUCGUGUCGUGAGAUGUUGGGUUAAGUCCCGCAACGAGCGCAACCUCGUCAUUAGUUGCUACGAAAGGGCACCUCCAUCGACUGCCGCGAGCUCGUAAACCGGCAGGUGGGGAUGACGUCAAGUCCUCAUGGCCCUUAUGGUAGGGUCACGAUCGUCAUACAGUCGUCGGGACAGAGGGUCACAACCCGCGAGGGGGAGCCAAUCCCAGAAACCCUGAUCGUAGUCCGGAUCGCAGUCUGCAACUCGACUGCGCAGUCGGAAUCGCUAGUAAUCGCGGAUCAGCAUGUCGGUGAAUAUUGUUCCCGGUCUUGUACACACCGCCCGUCACACCAUGGGAGUGGGUUUUACCAGAAGUAGUUAGCCUAACCGUAAGGAGGGCGAUUACCACGGUAGGAUUCAUGACUGGGGUGAAGUCGUAACAAGGUAG
RNAcentral lists this ribosomal RNA (1467 nucleotides) under uncultured Bordetella sp. Its description in RNAcentral is "partial 16S-23S ribosomal RNA intergenic spacer". It matches the Rfam family "Bacterial small subunit ribosomal RNA". The record is from RNAcentral. Lineage: Bacteria; Pseudomonadati; Pseudomonadota; Betaproteobacteria; Burkholderiales; Alcaligenaceae.